RNAcentral lists this ribosomal RNA (600 nucleotides) under uncultured beta proteobacterium. RNAcentral's name for it is "bacterial SSU rRNA". It matches the Rfam family "Bacterial small subunit ribosomal RNA", at positions 46 to 640 of the family's 1533-position model. Lineage: Bacteria; Pseudomonadati; Pseudomonadota; Betaproteobacteria. The record is from RNAcentral.
GCCUUACACAUGCAAGUCGAACGGCAGCACGGGGGCAACCCUGGUGGCGAGUGGCGAACGGGUGAGUAAUACAUCGGAACGUGUCCUGUAGUGGGGGGUAGCCCGGCGAAAGCCGGAUUAAUACCGCAUACGCUCUACGGAGGAAAGGGGGGGAUCUUAGGACCUCCCGCUACAGGGGCGGCCGAUGGCAGAUUAGCUAGUUGGUGGGGUAAAGGCCUACCAAGGCGACGAUCUGUAGCUGGUCUGAGAGGACGACCAGCCACACUGGGACUGAGACACGGCCCAGACUCCUACGGGAGGCAGCAGUGGGGAAUUUUGGACAAUGGGCGAAAGCCUGAUCCAGCAAUGCCGCGUGUGUGAAGAAGGCCUUCGGGUUGUAAAGCACUUUUGUCCGGAAAGAAAACGUCGUGGUUAAUACCCGUGGCGGAUGACGGUACCGGAAGAAUAAGCACCGGCUAACUACGUGCCAGCAGCCGCGGUAAUACGUAGGGUGCAAGCGUUAAUCGGAAUUACUGGGCGUAAAGCGUGCGCAGGCGGUUCGCUAAGACAGAUGUGAAAUCCCCGGGCUUAACCUGGGGAACUGCAUUUGUGACUGGCGGG